This 268-nucleotide long non-coding RNA is filed under the name Lathyrus oleraceus (garden pea). RNAcentral describes it as "Pisum sativum (pea) long non-coding RNA (PSAT_LNC038923)". The record is from RNAcentral. Lineage: Eukaryota; Viridiplantae; Streptophyta; Magnoliopsida; Fabales; Fabaceae.
UUUAAUUCAAAUAUUAUUUCCCUCCAUAUUUUCCAUAUUAUUUCAUAUUAUUUUGUUCAGUUUGAAAUAUUCAUUAAAAAUAGAAAAAUGCUCCAAAUUAACUCCAAUUUUUUUUAUAGUUCUUUUUUAAUGUCUAGUUUUUUUUAGUAUUAUUUUCAUGAUUUGUUGAUGUCUGAUUUUAAUGUGUGAUUUUUUUGAUCCAUGCCAUGCUAUUUUGACAUGUUGCAUUCAAUGCUUUGUGAAAUCCUCAUCCUUGAUCCAAUUGACC